RNAcentral lists this ribosomal RNA (710 nucleotides) under Hippocampus coronatus (crowned seahorse). Its description in RNAcentral is "partial 12S rRNA". It matches the Rfam family "Bacterial small subunit ribosomal RNA", at positions 534 to 1533 of the family's 1533-position model. Lineage: Eukaryota; Metazoa; Chordata; Actinopteri; Syngnathiformes; Syngnathidae. The record is from RNAcentral.
AGAGGCUCAAAAUAAUAGAAAUCGGCGUAAAGGGUGGUUAAGUCUAAAAACACUAAAGUUGAACAUCUUCCCAGCUGUUAUACGCACACGAAGAUACGAAACCCAYUUACGAAAGUGACUUUACAAAACUGAACCCACGAAAGCUAUGGAACAAACUGGGAUUAGAUACCCCACUAUGCAUAGCCUUAAACCAAAGUAUUUUAAUUACAUUAUACUCGCCAGGGUACUACGAGCACCAGCUUAAAACCCAAAGGACUUGGCGGUGCUUUAAACCCAUCUAGAGGAGCCUGUUCUAUAACUGAUAACCCCCGUUAAACCUCACCCUAUUUUGCUUAAUCAGUCUAUAUACCGCCGUCGUCAGCUUACCUUGUGAGAGAACAACAGUGAGCAAAACUAGUUAUAACUCAAAACGUCAGGUCGAGGUGUAGUUUAUAAUAGGGUAAGAAAUGGGCUACACUCAUUUACUAGUGAAUACGGAUGGUGUGUUGAAAUACAAACCUGAAGGAGGAUUUAGCAGUAAGAAGAAAAUAGAGUGUUCAUCUGAAAUCGGCUCUAAAGCGCGCACACACCGCCCGUCACUCUCCCUAAAACACACUUAAAACUAAUUAAAACAAAAUAUUAAACAAGGGGAGGCAAGUCGUAACAUGGUAAGCGUACCGGAAGGUGUGCUUGGAAUACCAGAGCAUGGCUGAAGUAGUCAAAGCAUCUCA